CAGCCUGGGGGCAGGGUGGGGGUGUCUCCCUCACCCCCAAGGGUUUAGCCCAUCUCUCCUCUGCUGUGGACACUCAGCACCCACCCCAGGUGCCUGGACACCACCACCACCCCGGACACGGCUGCCUGGAAGAAGACGAGUUCCCAGGCCACCCUUGAGAAAUCUGCCUGGUGGGCCCACCCGGCCCUCACCUGCCACGCCUGGCACAGACCGAGCAAUUUCACUUCCCAGUCCCCUGGGUGGGCAGCAGCAGGCACGGUGGGUGGAAUGUUCCGACGCCCACACACUGCACACUUCCGUUCGGGGCAGCUGGGCAGGGCGGCCUCUGGGAGCCUGAGCCCCUAAGAGUCCAAGGGGCCCAGCGAGGGCCCAGCUUCCGGCAUUGGGGGACGGCUGGGGACAGCGCCUCUGCUCUCACGGCCUGGGGCGCCGCUGAGCCCCAAGGGCAGAUCCCGAGUGGAGGACACUGCACAGCCCUUCUGAGCCUCCUCGCCACACGCUGUGGGUGGUGGGCUGGGCCCCGGGAGCUCUAAGCCAGGCCCUGGUCUGUGACACCCUCCUUGGACCACCAGAGAGAGCACGGUUAUGAUUUGCAAAGCAAGCAACGCCUCAGAAUGUGCCUUUCAGGCCAUGGCGGGUGGCGAGAGGCAGGACUCUUCUAGAAGUAGGGUCCUGGCCUGAGGCUACGUCCUUCGCAGGGAGGUCCUGGUGGCCCCCAGCUCUCCCGGCAAAUCCCUGCAGCCCCAGGUCUCCCUGCCGUGCUGGAAGGAGGGCCGCUUAGGACCGACGGAAACCCUCCUGUGGGUGGGAGGCCGCAGUCCUAGGAGGUUGGCCUUGGAUCUGCUGGGCCUGCUCUGCAGAACCCUGAGAAGCCACUUGGAGAGGGAGCUCUGGAACCACAGGGUCACAACUGUGUGCUGCUCAGAUCUGAAGGUUUGUGAAGCCUAGAGGUCAGGUCACGGGCCAGGCUCACAGGACACGCUAGCUUCGUGAACGUCUCUCCCUGAACCACCAUAAGGCCUCGUCAGAGGGAGUUCACUCUUGGUGGAGAGCAAGGAGACACGUUUCACACGCCUGACGGGGGAAGAACAGGAGGGAGCAGCUGUUCCCGCCAGGCCGAUGAGGAGACUGAGGUGGCUCCUGUACUUCAUUUGGGGAUGUGAGGUGAAGACGGGGCCAGUGCCCCUGGGACAGCUGAGCCCAGGGCGGGGAAGACCAUAAAUCAGGCAGGAGCCAGUGCCCGGUGCCCCAAGAUUCAACCUGCACUGACCAGGCCUGUGUCUGCCUGAGAAUCAGCCUGGGGUUCCUUCAGCGCAUGCAUACAGAGUCCUAAAAGGCUGUGGGAAGCAGCCGGAACCUUUCCUUAAAUCGCAAAACAGAGCAAGGAAAGAAUCCACAUGGCAGACAGGCUAAGAUCCCAAAUCCCAGUAAUCACUAUGACAUGGCUAAGGAACAGGGCGCAAGUCCCACCAACAAUUCCAAGAGAAAACUUCAUAUGCAAACCAAAAUCACAUCAAUCAGCUGAGUCUUCAUUUUCUUCACGUGCCAACAAAAAUAAGUAUCCCUGGGAGGACAGUGACGGGAGGCAGAGGCAGGCUAAGUCCUCACACACAGGGAAAUGGUUCCUCACACACAUGGUCGGAGAAAAAUAAGGCAAGUACUAGAAAAUUAAAACAGGACGAGUAUCUGUUUAGCAACUAGCGAAAAAUGGAGUGAAAUGUACCUACCAAGGGUGAGAAAACAGCAAACACACAGAGCAGCACCAAGCAGUCGUUGCCCUGAGAUGACGGGAGCAAACGUAUGACUGGCAAUGGCAAGAGCAAAACACACGAGCGGAUUUUCCCCUCGCAGCCUCAAAUUGGCUUUCUGUCCCUCUGGGUCUGCCUACUCUGGGUACGUUUUGAGUUAAUUUUUGUAUAAGUUAUGAGACUUAGGUCAAAGUUCCUUUUUUUUUUUUUUUUUUUUUGCCUAUAGAUGUCUGAUUCUUCCAGCACCAUUUGUUGAAAAACUGCUGUUCUUCCACUGAAUUCUUUAUAUACCUUUGUCAAAAAUCAGGUGGGCAUAUUUGUGUGGGUCAGUUUCUGGGUUUUCUGUUCUGUUCCGUUGGUUGGAGAGUCUACCCUGCUGCACACGCGUCACUUUCUCAACGUUGUCAUGAUGGAUGAGGCUUUAAUAUCCACGCCCGCUGGAGUGACGGCUCCACUUUUUUCUCCCUUGUUUCAGGAUUGGUUUUGUUUGUUUGUUUGAGAUGGAGUCCCCGCUCUGUCGCCCAGGCUGGAGUGCAGUGGCACGAUCUUGGCUCACUAGAACCUCUGCCUCCCAGGUUCAAGUGAUUCUCCUGCCUCAGCCUCUCAAGUAGCUGGGAUAACAGGCACAACCACCAUGCCCAGCUAAUUUUUGUAUUUUUAGUGGAGAUGGGGUUUCACUGUGUUGGCCAGGCUGGUCUCAAUCUUCUGAUCUCAUGACCCACCCACCUCAGCCCCCCAGAAUGCUGGCAUUACAGGCGUGAGCCACUGAGCCUGGCCUACUUUUUGCAUUUUUUAGUAGGGACAGGGUUUUGCCAUUGCCAUGUUGGCCAGGCUGGCCUUGAACCGCUGACUCCAGGUGAUCCACCAGCGUCGGCCUCCCACAGUGCUAGGAUUACAGGCGUGAGCCACCGCGCCUGGCCAAGUUUUUUUUUUUUUUUUUUUUUUUUUUUUUUUUUUUUUCUGAGACGGAGUCUUGCUCUGUCACCCAGGCUGGCAUGCAGUGGCACAAUCUCGGCUCACUCCAACCUCUGCCUCCUGGGUUCAAGAGAUUCUCCUGCCUCACCCUCCCAAGUAGCUGGGAUUACAGGCACCUGCCACCACGCCUGGCUAAUUUUUGUAUUCUUAGUAGAGACGGGGUUUCACCAUGUUGGCCAGGAUGGACUCGAUCUCCUGACCUCGUGAUCUGCCUGCCUCAGCCUCCUAAAGUGCUGGGAUUACAGGCGUGAGCCACCGCGCCUGGUAAUUGUUUUAAGUAUUCUAGGUCCUUCGCCUUUCCUUAUAAAUUUUAUUUUAUUUAUUUUCUUUUAUCUCCUCAAUCCCAAUGGUUAACCCCAAGCUCACAACCACUUUACUCUUAGCUUCUAAAGGGG
This is a long non-coding RNA of Symphalangus syndactylus (siamang), 3118 nucleotides long. RefSeq lists it as uncharacterized. NCBI's taxonomy places the organism in Eukaryota, Metazoa, Chordata, Mammalia, Primates, Hylobatidae. The record is from RefSeq and is a predicted model, not a curated record.